CCUUAGCGAGGCCAUGGGGGAAAAAGUCUAACUGGCGGAACUCCUGGGAACUGGGGCGAUGGGCUCUUAGUAUCGGAGGAUUGGAGCCAUCUGAUUUUUACCUGAAAUUCCUUAGUCUCUCCUGUGUUGGGGAAAUGGUCACCUUGCCUUCAGGGACCUGGGCUUUCAGCUGUCCAUACCUGGCCCUGGUUGAUGGCGGCAUGCUGGGCAGUGCACGUGAAGACGCACAUGGGAUUCUUUCUGUUGCAAGUAAUGAAAACUCAACUAAAAAUGGCUUAAGAGAAAGAAAAGGAAGAUAUUGAUUCAUAAUACUGGAAAGUCCAGGGCCACAGUGCCUUCAGGGGCUACUGGAGGCUGUGCUUCUUGAAUGAGAGGACAAGCCAAGAAAGAACAUAUGGGACACAACAGGUAGGAAUCAAACACAGGAGAGUGGUGAAGGGACUCUAGGGUAAGGGUGAUGGGAGAGUCCAGAAUGACAGUUAUGCACUAGGUGCAGAAGGAAACAAGUCCAGCCUGAAGAAGUGGGACACCAGGACUCCAGGGAGAGACACACUGAGGGCUUCCAUCACCACCAUCCCCACUGCCAUCAUGCUAACUUUUAAAUCAAGGACUCAAUACCCAGAGUCUGGCCCAGAUUUUUCCUUUGUACUUUCUUUAUUUUGACCACAUGCUGAUAAAGUUCCUGCUCAUUCCUCGA
Molecule: long non-coding RNA, 697 nt
Organism: Homo sapiens (human)
Lineage: Eukaryota; Metazoa; Chordata; Mammalia; Primates; Hominidae
Gene: MIR497HG
Product: mir-497-195 cluster host gene
Source: Ensembl